UACGUAGGGUGCGAGCGUUGUCCGGAAUUAUUGGGCGUAAAGGGCUCGUAGGCGGUUUGUCGCGUCGGGAGUGAAAACACCGGGCUUAACUCGGUGCUUGCUUUCGAUACGGGCAGACUAGAGGCAUGCAGGGGAGAACGGAAUUCCUGGUGUAGCGGUGAAAUGCGCAGAUAUCAGGAGGAACACCGGUGGCGAAGGCGGUUCUCUGGGCAUUACCUGACGCUGAGGAGCGAAAGUGUGGGGAGCGAACAGG
This 253-nucleotide ribosomal RNA is filed under the name uncultured bacterium. Its description in RNAcentral is "partial 16S ribosomal RNA". It matches the Rfam family "Bacterial small subunit ribosomal RNA", at positions 524 to 776 of the family's 1533-position model. The record is from RNAcentral.